CCUACGGGAGGCAGCAGUGAGGAAUAUUGGACAAUGGGCGGGAGCCUGAACCAGCCAAGCCGCGUGAGGGAAGAAGGUACAGCAUAUCGUAAACCUCUUUUGUCAGGGAACAAAGGCGGGGACUAGUCCCCGGAUGCGGGUACCUGAAGAAAAAGCAUCGGCUAACUCCGUGCCAGCCGCCGAGGUAAUACGGGGGAUGCGAGCGUUAUCCGGAUUUAUGGGGUUUAACGGGUGCGCGGGCGGCCUGUUAAGUCAGCGGUAAAAGCCCGGGGCUCAACCCCGGCGAGCCGUUGAAACUGGCGGGCUGGAGUUGGAGAGAGGGACGCAGAAUGCGCGGUGUAGCGGUGAAAUGCUUAGAGAUCUCGCAGAACCCCGAUUGCGAAGGCAGCGUACCGGCUCCACACUGACGCUGAGGCACGAAAGCGUGGGUAUCGAACAGGAUUAGAUACCCUAGUAGUC
This 459-nucleotide ribosomal RNA is filed under the name uncultured bacterium. Its description in RNAcentral is "partial 16S ribosomal RNA". It matches the Rfam family "Bacterial small subunit ribosomal RNA", at positions 338 to 795 of the family's 1533-position model. The record is from RNAcentral.